AAGGGCACCACAAGAACGCGUGGAGCAUGUGGCUUAAUUUGACUCAACGCGGGAAAUCUUACCGGGUCCGGACACACUGAGGAUUGACAGGCAAAAGAUACAAAUUUUUUCGGGAAUUUGCAUUGUAAAAUAUGCGAGUCCUUUCAUGAUUAUGUGAUAGGUGGUGCAUGGCCGUUCUUAGUUCGUGGAGUGAUCUGUCUGCUUAAUUGCGUUUCACUACRAUUUAAAAUAUUAUGUUUGUUUGUUUGCUGUUCAGUGUUUCGGCACUUUGAACGCACAACACAUAAUUCCAAACAAUCGGAAAGCAACGAACGUGACCGCAACCUCUUGUUGCCUUUAUUUUUAAAGUAUAAUAUUUUUUCUCUUUCGGGAGAAAUAUUUAUUGUAUUGAAAAAGGCUUUAAAACUAGAGGGACCGCUGUUCUUAUUUCUAAAACCAGAGGAAGAUUGCGGCAAUAACAGGUCUGUGAUGCCCUCAGAUGUUCCGGGCUGCACACGUGCUACAAUGAUUGUUGCAGUGAGCAUCUAUUUUCAAACGCUACCGUGGUGGAUUGUUAUUUAUGUUUUUUGAUUUCUUCGGAAUGAAAAGAAACUAUUUAAUUUAUUCCACAUUACGUGUCAGCUAAACCUGGUUCGAAAGUAACUAGGUAAUCAAUUGGAAGUAACGAUUUCCUUUUAUAGGAAAGCACAAUUUAUGGUCUUUUUGUUACUGCAGGCUAUUUACUUCGGUUUAUAGUUCUCGUCGGUUAACAUAAGAUAUCUGUGCUACAACCAUUUAAUUUCAAGGUGGGGACAGACCAUUGUUWAWUUGUUGGUCUCGUUUUAACUAGGAAUGCCUUGUACUGGC
RNAcentral lists this ribosomal RNA (846 nucleotides) under Bathysiphon sp. Its description in RNAcentral is "SSU rRNA". The record is from RNAcentral. Lineage: Eukaryota; Foraminifera; Astrorhizida; Bathysiphonidae.